Non-coding RNA from Acanthosepion pharaonis, 112 nucleotides. The record is from the annotation of a GenBank genome assembly. NCBI's taxonomy places the organism in Eukaryota, Metazoa, Mollusca, Cephalopoda, Sepiida, Sepiidae.
ACGGCCAUAUAGCGUUGAAAUACCGGUUCCCGUAUGAUCACCAACGUUAAGCAAUAUCGAAAUUUGUCAGUAUCUAGAUGGGUGACCGUUUUGGAAUACCAGGUGUUGUAAG